This 364-nucleotide unclassified non-coding RNA is filed under the name uncultured fungus. RNAcentral describes it as "sequence contains ITS1". The stretch from base 1 to 105 matches the Rfam family "5.8S ribosomal RNA", at positions 50 to 154 of the family's 154-position model. RNAcentral also lists the same sequence under 1 other name. The record is from RNAcentral. Lineage: Eukaryota; Fungi.
GAAAUGCGAUAAGUAAUGUGAAUUGCAGAAUUCAGUGAAUCAUCGAAUCUUUGAACGCACCUUGCGCUCCAUGGUAUUCCGUGGAGCAUGCCUGUUUGAGUGUCAUGAAUACUUCAACCCUCCUCUUUCUUAAUGAUUGAAGAGGUGUUUGGUUUCUGAGCGCUGCUGGCCUUUACGGUCUAGCUCGUUCGUAAUGCAUUAGCAUCCGCAAUCGAACUUCGGAUUGACUUGGCGUAAUAGACUAUUCGCUGAGGAAUUCUAGUCUUCGGAUUAGAGCCGGGUUGGGUUAAAGGAAGCUUCUAAUCAGAAUGUCUACAUUUUAAGAUUAGAUCUCAAAUCAGGUAGGACUACCCGCUGAACUUAA